Molecule: non-coding RNA, 94 nt
Organism: Acanthosepion pharaonis
Lineage: Eukaryota; Metazoa; Mollusca; Cephalopoda; Sepiida; Sepiidae
Source: the annotation of a GenBank genome assembly
UACACCAGUUCCUAUAUGAUCACCGAAAUUAAGCAAUGUUGAGCCUGGUCAGAAGCUAGAUGAGUGACUGCUUGGGAAUACCAGAUGUUGCAAG